Long non-coding RNA from Dioscorea cayenensis subsp. rotundata (Guinea yam), 676 nucleotides. RefSeq lists it as uncharacterized. The record is from RefSeq and is a predicted model, not a curated record. NCBI's taxonomy places the organism in Eukaryota, Viridiplantae, Streptophyta, Magnoliopsida, Dioscoreales, Dioscoreaceae. The transcript is spliced from 3 exons.
UUCCUCCCUUGUCGGCGUGGCUGGAAUCCCCCUCUAAUCUCCUCCAGUUUCUUAAAAUCUCUUUCGGGAUUCCUCAGCGAGAGCUUGCUCAACUCGGAUUUGUGUCUUUGAAGUUUGGGUUCUUUAUUUCCUUUUGUUUUUGUGGUUUUGUUGAGUUUUUGAAUUUUUUUUAUUCAAUUUUGGGCAGUGUUGUGUGUCUUGGUGAGUUAUUGGAUGUGAUGUUGGUUUUUUCUUUUUAUGGUUUUUUAUGAAAUAUCUAUGUUUUGCUGGUGUUUUGGCUGGAUCUUUUGUGGGAAUCGAUGGAUUUGUCCUUGUUUGAAGAGAUAUUCAAAGACUUAUGUAAUCAUCAUCAUCAUCUUUGUGGUUUCAAAAGCAACAAGGGAUUCUAGAUCAGCUCCGUUGCCAAGGACUUGAACUUCAUAACAAUGGAAAGUUUAAAUACUCCUAUAAAUGUGGAGGACGGGUACACUGAGUAUGAAAGUGCUUCUGAGCAUCACAACACAACUACAUCAAAAGUGUGGGAUGAUAUGAAAAAGCUUGAGUGCAAUGACAAGGAAAUAAUAAAGGCACAAUGCAAUCAUUAAGAAAAAAGAUACAUUUCGGUUAGUUGUGCAUUCUGGGUGGAAAAAGCUACCACCAAUGAAGUAUGAAGCUACUCUCAUAAGUCGGAUACUAG